Molecule: unclassified non-coding RNA, 308 nt
Filed under: uncultured Chaetomiaceae
Lineage: Eukaryota; Fungi; Ascomycota; Sordariomycetes; Sordariales
Also listed under: 1 other name
Description: partial contains 5.8S ribosomal RNA, internal transcribed spacer 2, and large subunit ribosomal RNA
Rfam family: 5.8S ribosomal RNA (bases 1-105)
Source: RNAcentral
GAAAUGCGAUAAGUAAUGUGAAUUGCAGAAUUCAGUGAAUCAUCGAAUCUUUGAACGCACAUUGCGCCCGCCAGUAUUCUGGCGGGCAUGCCUGUUCGAGCGUCAUUUCAACCAUCAAGCCCCCGGGCUUGUGUUGGGGACCUGCGGCUGCCCGCAGGCCCUGAAAACCAGUGGCGGGCUCGCUAGUCACACCGAGCGUAGUAGCAUACAUCUCGCUCAGGGCGUGCUGCGGGUUCCGGCCGUUAAACAGCCUCUGCGCUACACCCAAGGUUGACCUCGGAUCAGGUAGGAAGACCCGCUGAACUUAA